AAUGAACGCUGGCGGCGUGCUUAACACAUGCAAGUCGCACGAGAACGCUUCAGCUUGCUGAGGCUAGUAAAGUGGCGCACGGGUGAGUAACGCGUGGGUAACCUACCUCUGAAUCGGGGAUAACCCGCCGAAAGGCGAGCUAAUACCGGAUGACAUCCUUCUGGCUUUGGCCGGGGGGAUCAAAGGUGGCCUCUCCAUGGAAGCUACUGUUUAGAGAUGGGCCCGCGUCCCAUUAGCUAGUUGGUAGGGUAAUGGCCUACCAAGGCGACGAUGGGUAGCUGGUCUGAGAGGAUGAUCAGCCACACUGGAACUGACACACGGUCCAGACUCCUACGGGAGGCAGCAGUGAGGAAUUUUGCGCAAUGGGGGAAACCCUGACGCAGCAACGCCGCGUGAGUGAUGAAGGCUUUCGGGUCGUAAAGCUCUGUCAAGUGGGAAGAACCCACGUGGUGCUAAUACCACCAUGUGCUGACGGUACCACUGAAGGAAGCACCGGCUAACUCCGUG
Molecule: ribosomal RNA, 507 nt
Filed under: uncultured bacterium
Lineage: Bacteria
Description: bacterial SSU rRNA
Rfam family: Bacterial small subunit ribosomal RNA
Source: RNAcentral